Molecule: long non-coding RNA, 821 nt
Organism: Hemicordylus capensis (graceful crag lizard)
Lineage: Eukaryota; Metazoa; Chordata; Lepidosauria; Squamata; Cordylidae
Exons: 4
Source: RefSeq, a predicted model, not a curated record
GGAGCCAUUUUGGAAGAAAAUGGGGCAGUCUAGACACACUGUUUAAUUUGACCGGGGAAAGAAGAAAGCCACUCCAAGCCACUGCACACUCCCGCCCAGAUUUGUGUGAAGCCAGUAAACAACAGAGACCCAUAUCAGUGGGCUGUGGUGAGCUCCUAGAAUGUUAGCACAGCCUCCUAUCCAGAGUCACAUUCCGUGACACUUAGAGGCCUACAGUGAGUGGGAGAAAAUCCUCAGAACUGGGAACUGGACACAACGGUGUCAUGUUUACUGGUGAAGACUGUGUGAGAAGCAGCAGCAGAGCCGAACCAUGUGUGAAGUGAAGUAGGUUCCAGAGGUGCCAUCUGCUCAUUCUUGGUGACUCUUGGAGAUAUUACAGGAUUUUUUGGUGAUUUUUUUAGCAUUUUAUUUUGUAUUGCUUUUCCUUUAUUUUUUUUAGGUCUUUUUGCAGCCGGGGUUCCCCUAACCCCCUGUUUCCCAUAGACUUUAAUUCCUUGCCAACUGCAAAUUUGCCAACAGCAAAGUUUUGCCAGAACGGAACCCUAGCAUUUGGCAAGGGAUGAUUGUAUAUUUAUAAAGCUCAUUUCCCCACUUCUGUUUUGUGAUCCCUUUGUGGACAGGGAACCAUUUUACUUAUUAUGUAUGUAGUUUCCUAUGUAAACCACUUUGAGAACAUUUGUUGAAAAGCAGUAUAUAAAUAUGUGUAGUAGUUGUUGUAUAUGUUUAAGAUCGGAACAUUAAAAUGAAACACCUCAUUAUUUUUAUUUCAGAAAUCUUCCAGAGAGACAAAUUUCACUCUUCCAGAAAUGUACUUUGCCCCU